GAGAAUAUAGCUCAGUGGUAGAGUGUGUGCUUAGCAUGCACGAGGUCCUGGGUCCAAUCCCCAGUACCUCC
Molecule: transfer RNA, 71 nt
Filed under: Camelus bactrianus (Bactrian camel)
Lineage: Eukaryota; Metazoa; Chordata; Mammalia; Artiodactyla; Camelidae
Also listed under: 2 other names
Rfam family: tRNA
About the family: Transfer RNA (tRNA) molecules are approximately 80 nucleotides in length. Their secondary structure includes four short double-helical elements and three loops (D, anti-codon, and T loops).
Source: Rfam by way of RNAcentral